This 422-nucleotide ribosomal RNA is filed under the name uncultured Alphaproteobacteria bacterium. Its description in RNAcentral is "bacterial SSU rRNA". It matches the Rfam family "Bacterial small subunit ribosomal RNA", at positions 9 to 477 of the family's 1533-position model. The record is from RNAcentral. Lineage: Bacteria; Pseudomonadati; Pseudomonadota; Alphaproteobacteria.
GAGUUUGAUCAUGGCUCAGAGCGAACGCUGGCGGCAGGCCUAACACAUGCAAGUCGAACGGAUCCUUCGGGAUUAGUGGCGGACGGGUGAGUAACACGUGGGAACGUGCCCUUUGGUACGGAACAACUCAGGGAAACUUGAGCUAAUACCGUAUGUGCCCUUCGGGGGAAAGAUUUAUCGCCAUUGGAGCGGCCCGCGUCUGAUUAGCUAGUUGGUGAGGUAAAGGCUCACCAAGGCUACGAUCAGUAGCUGGUCUGAGAGGAUGAUCAGCCACACUGGGACUGAGACACGGCCCAGACUCCUACGGGAGGCAGCAGUGGGGAAUCUUGCGCAAUGGGCGAAAGCCUGACGCAGCCAUGCCGCGUGAAUGAUGAAGGUCUUAGGAUUGUAAAAUUCUUUCACCGGGGACGAUAAUGACGGUA